RNAcentral lists this ribosomal RNA (469 nucleotides) under Bacillus spizizenii. RNAcentral describes it as "bacterial SSU rRNA". It matches the Rfam family "Bacterial small subunit ribosomal RNA", at positions 968 to 1438 of the family's 1533-position model. Lineage: Bacteria; Bacillati; Bacillota; Bacilli; Caryophanales; Bacillaceae. The record is from RNAcentral.
ACCUUACCAGGUCUUGACAUCCUCUGAAAACCCUAGAGAUAGGGCUUCUCCUUCGGGAGCAGAGUGACAGGUGGUGCAUGGUUGUCGUCAGCUCGUGUCGUGAGAUGUUGGGUUAAGUCCCGCAACGAGCGCAACCCUUGAUCUUAGUUGCCAUCAUUAAGUUGGGCACUUUAAGGUGACUGCCGGUGACAAACCGGAGGAAGGUGGGGAUGACGUCAAAUCAUCAUGCCCCUUAUGACCUGGGCUACACACGUGCUACAAUGGACGGUACAAAGAGCUGCAAGACCGCGAGGUGGAGCUAAUCUCAUAAAACCGUUCUCAGUUCGGAUUGUAGGCUGCAACUCGCCUACAUGAAGCUGGAAUCGCUAGUAAUCGCGGAUCAGCAUGCCGCGGUGAAUACGUUCCCGGGCCUUGUACACACCGCCCGUCACACCACGAGAGUUUGUAACACCCGAAGUCGGUGGGGUAA